AUGAACGUUGGCGGCGUGGAUUAGGCAUGCAAGUCGAGCGAGAAACCUCCUUCGGGAGGUGGAAAGCGGCGAAAGGGAGAGUAACGCGUGGAUACCUGCCCUCGGGUUCGGGAUAGCUGCUGGAAACGGCAGGUAAUACCGAAUGAUAUCUCCGGAUCAAAGGUGUGAUUCCGCCCGGGGAUGGGUCCGCGUCCUAUUAGCUAGUUGGUGAGGUAACGGCUCACCAAGGCAACGAUGGGUAGUGGGUGUGAGAGCACGACCCACCUCACUGGGACUGAGACACUGCCCAGACACCUACGGGUGGCUGCAGUCGAGGAUCUUCGGCAAUGGGCGCAAGCCUGACCGAGCGACGCCGCGUGCGGGAUGAAGGCCUUCGGGUUGUAAACCGCUUUCGGAGGGGAUGAAAUGCGUGGGGGUUCUCCCCCACGUUUGACAUAGCCUCUAAAGAAGUACGGGCUAAGUUCGUGCCAGCAGCCGCCGUAAAAC
This 486-nucleotide ribosomal RNA is filed under the name uncultured bacterium. RNAcentral describes it as "bacterial SSU rRNA". It matches the Rfam family "Bacterial small subunit ribosomal RNA", at positions 29 to 526 of the family's 1533-position model. The record is from RNAcentral.